Molecule: transfer RNA, 72 nt
Filed under: Alkalinema sp. RL_2_19
Lineage: Bacteria; Bacillati; Cyanobacteriota; Cyanophyceae; Leptolyngbyales; Leptolyngbyaceae
Also listed under: 1 other name
Description: tRNA-Val
Rfam family: tRNA
About the family: Transfer RNA (tRNA) molecules are approximately 80 nucleotides in length.
Source: RNAcentral
GGGCAAUUAACUCAGCGGUAGAGUGUCUCCCUUACAAGGAGAAGGCCGGGGGUUCGAAUCCCUCAUUGCCCA